GUACACUCCUACGGGAGGCAGCAGUGGGGAAUAUUGCACAAUGGGCGCAAGCCUGAUGCAGCCAUGCCGCGUGUAUGAAGAAGGCCUUCGGGUUGUAAAGUACUUUCAGCGGGGAGGAAGGCGAUAAGGUUAAUAACCUUGUUGAUUGACGUUACCCGCAGAAGAAGCACCGGCUAACUCCGUGCCAGCAGCCGCGGUAAUACGGAGGGUGCAAGCGUUAAUCGGAAUUACUGGGCGUAAAGCGCACGCAGGCGGUCUGUCAAGUCGGAUGUGAAAUCCCCGGGCUCAACCUGGGAACUGCAUUCGAAACUGGCAGGCUAGAGUCUUGUAGAGGGGGGUAGAAUUCCAGGUGUAGCGGUGAAAUGCGUAGAGAUCUGGAGGAAUACCGGUGGCGAAGGCGGCCCCCUGGACAAAGACUGACGCUCAGGUGCGAAAGCGUGGGGAGCAAACAGGAUUAGAAACCCGGGUAGUCCCAUGA
RNAcentral lists this ribosomal RNA (478 nucleotides) under uncultured organism. RNAcentral's name for it is "partial 16S ribosomal RNA". It matches the Rfam family "Bacterial small subunit ribosomal RNA", at positions 331 to 800 of the family's 1533-position model. The record is from RNAcentral.